UAGUGAAUAUAGGACGUCCAACUUAACUUGGAGUCCGAACUCUCACUUUCUAACCCUGUGCACUUGUUUGGGAUAGUAACUCUCGCAAGAGAGCGAACUCCUAUUCACUUAUAAACACAAAGUCUAUGAAUGUAUUAAAUUUUAUAACAAAAUAAAACUUUCAACAACGGAUCUCUUGGCUCUCGCAUCGAUGAAGAACGCAGCGAAAUGCGAUAAGUAAUGUGAAUUGCAGAAUUCAGUGAAUCAUCGAAUCUUUGAACGCACCUUGCGCUCCAUGGUAUUCCGUGGAGCAUGCCUGUUUGAGUGUCAUGAAUACUUCAACCCUCCUCUUUCUUAAUGAUUGAAGAGGUGUUUGGUUUCUGAGCGCUGCUGGCCUUUACGGUCUAGCUCGUUCGUAAUGCAUUAGCAUCCGCAAUCGAACUUCGGAUUGACUUGGCGUAAUAGACUAUUCGCUGAGGAAUUCUAGUCUUCGGAUUAGAGCCGGGUUGGGUUAAAGGAAGCUUCUAAUCAGAAUGUCUACAUUUUAAGAUUAGAUCUCAAAUCAGGUAGGACUACCCGCUGAACUUAAGCAUAUCAAUAAGCGGAGGAAAAGAAACUAACAAGGAUUCCCCUAGUAGCGGCGAGCGAAGCGGGAAGAGCUCAAAUUUAUAAUCUGGCACCUUCGGUGUCCGAGUUGUAAUCUCUAGAAAUGUUUUCCGCGUUGGACCGCACACAAGUCUGUUGGAAUACAGCGGCAUAGUGGUGAGACCCCCGUAUAUGGUGCGGACGCCCAGCGCUUUGUGAUACAUUUUCGAAGAGUCGAGUUGUUUGGGAAUGCAGCUCAAAUUGGGUGGUAAAUUCCAUCUAAAGCUAAAUAUUGGCGAGAGACCGAUAGCGAACAAGUACCGUGAGGGAAAGAUGAAAAGCACUUUGGAAAGAGAGUUAACAGUACGUGAAAUUGUUGGAAGGGAAACGCUUGAAGUCAGACUUGCUUGCCGAGCAAUCGGUUUGCAGGCCAGCAUCAGUUUUCCGGGAUGGAUAAUGGUAGAGAGAAGGUAGCAGUUUCGGCUGUGUUAUAGCUCUCUGCUGGAUACAUCUUGGGGGACUGAGGAACGCAGUGUGCCUUUGGCGGGGGUUUCGACCUCUCAC
Molecule: ribosomal RNA, 1128 nt
Filed under: Rhodotorula mucilaginosa
Lineage: Eukaryota; Fungi; Basidiomycota; Microbotryomycetes; Sporidiobolales; Sporidiobolaceae
Description: eukaryotic LSU rRNA
Rfam family: Eukaryotic large subunit ribosomal RNA (bases 532-1128)
Source: RNAcentral